UUGCCAGCCCGCUCAAGAAACUAAAGGAAUUGACGGGACCCCGCACAAGCGGUGGAUCAUGUUGUUUAAUUCGAUGAUACGCGAAGAACCUUACCAGGUCUUGACAUCCCCCGCGAUGCUUUAGAGAUAAAGCGGAGGUAUUCGGGGAGACAGGUGGUGCAUGGUUGUCGUCAGCUCGUGUCGUGAGAUGUUGGGUUAAGUCCCGCAACGAGCGCAACCCCUAUUGCUAGUUACCAUCAUUAAGUUGGGGACUCUAGCGAGACUGCCAGUGAUAAACUGGAGGAAGGUGGGGAUGACGUCAAAUCAUCAUGCCCCUUAUGACCUGGGCUACAAACGUGAUACAAUGGCUGGAACAAAGGGAUGCGAAGCAGUGAUGUGGAGCGAAACCCAUAAAAACAGUCUCAGUUCGGAUUGAAGUCUGCAACUCGACUUCAUGAAGUCGGAAUCGCUAGUAAUCGCGGAUCAGCAUGUCACGGUGAAUACGUUCCCGGGCCUU
Molecule: ribosomal RNA, 496 nt
Filed under: uncultured Acholeplasma sp.
Lineage: Bacteria; Bacillati; Mycoplasmatota; Mollicutes; Acholeplasmatales; Acholeplasmataceae
Description: bacterial SSU rRNA
Rfam family: Bacterial small subunit ribosomal RNA
Source: RNAcentral